GGGGACUAUGUCAAAUACUUCUAUGUGUCCCUGAAAGGGAUUUGUACUGUCAGUAGGAAAAAUAAUAUUGUUAAUUGCUUUAAAUGGUUUUCUUUCAUGAAAUCCUUAAUUGACUGUAAGGUUAUCACUAAUUGAGACUGCUCUUCUAAUUGGUCUUUUUUUCCCCAACCUUUUUAGUCUGGUUUCUGGAGAGAUGAUGAGUCCUGUGGACCCAAGUGGAAGGUGAAUCCUGUCACUGUCACCCUCUGCUCUCAUAUGGAGCAUCCUUAUUCUGUAGAAAUGCACCUCGAUAAAGUACCCCAGAACAGCCUUUGAACAUACCAAAGUAGUUGCUCAAUCAAUACUUGCUGAAAUGAAGAUAAAAAGAGAAGAUGGACCAAACAAAACCGAAGCUAUGAAAUCCUGGAAUUUAGCAGAUUUCUGCAAAGUUGACAUUCAUCAGAUCUCAUCUGAGUCACCAAGUUGUCAGCUGCUCUGAGAAGUCCUGAAGUCUGUGGAAAAACAACCCCAAACAUUGGCACCAUCUGUAGAAGAGGCUUCACUCUUAAGAUUCUCUAUUUGUACUCAUUAAGUCAUUACCUGAUAAAGCCAGACUUGUUUCUUUUUAAAUAAUCUGCAAAAUAGGCUAUAAAAUGCAUGUUUGUAAACUCAUCACAGGCUGCAUUCCAAUUGACUGUUAGAGAGGUUUUUAAGAUCCCAUUCUUAUUGUAUAGUGACUAUUAAAUAGAAAGUUUUCUCCUAUUAGACAAUCUGCCAAAAACUGUCAUUUAAUCUAAUAAUGUAGCAGGAAUCUGAAUAUCAUUUAAGUGACUUAUUAUUUCUCCUCUUCACUCCAUCCCCAGUUUUCCAGAAUCUUACUUUUAUUUGAAAUACCUCAAUAUGUCAGGCAUAUGAGUUAAUCCACCUGGGAACUUUCUUAUAGAAAUAUCUGCUUUAUGGCAGAACUGAUCAUGACUAAAGUCCAUUUGGGAUCAUCAUAAUUACCAAAGUACUAAAAAAGACCUCCAUAUAAAACUGGAUCUAGAAGACAGCAUUUAUAGAAUUUCAAUUAAAUAUAUACAUUUAACCCAACAAAACUUUAUUAAAUAAACAUGUUAUAGAUGUGUUCGGAGAAGAAGAA
Molecule: long non-coding RNA, 1120 nt
Filed under: Monodelphis domestica (gray short-tailed opossum)
Lineage: Eukaryota; Metazoa; Chordata; Mammalia; Didelphimorphia; Didelphidae
Description: lncRNA (ENSMODG00000035885.2)
Source: RNAcentral